GUCUCCUGCAUUGCAGGCAGAUUCUUUACCACUGAGCCACUGGGAAAGCCUUCAACCUAACCCUAAACAAAGCUAAAUUAUGGAACACUUUUUUUAAAACUUCCGAAUUUCUUAAGAAAAUUUAAUAGGCUUCCACACUAUAGUGGCAGAGGUGAGUAGUUGCAACAGAAACAUGACCUACAAAGGGUAAAAUAUUUACUUUCUGGCUCUUUACAUAGUUUGCUGACUCUUGGUCUAAAACACAAUACAAAAUUCUAGUGACAUAUUUCCUAAGCUAGUGCAAAAUAGUGAUGACCUGGCUAUUUUUCUUCUGAAUAGGUUAACUCUAUUUUUAAUUGUGUGUGUGUGUAUAUAUAUAGAUUAUAUAGAAUAGGAUUACAAUGUAUAAAAUAUAUCCUAUUUUUUAACUGACAUGAUGCCGAGAAUUAAAAAAACUGCAUGUGGAAAAUAUGGGACUGAAUCAAGUCCUAUCUUUACGUCUGGAGCUUAUCAGCUUUAUCUCUUGAAAUAUUUUCCACAUCUAAGAAAUGAUGGGUAAAUUAUCUUGUAUUUUACUAUUCCCUUGCCCUCCCUCCACUAAAUUUCCUUGGGGCUGAGAUUUGCACUAUAAAAAACUCCUCUCCUGAGCCUUUUGCAGUCACUGUUCUAGUGUCCAGAACGAAAGUAACCUACAAGUCACUUGCUACUUGGAGUCAAUGUAUCUUCUUUGGUCCACACCAUGUUUUAAAAAACAAAAACAAAAAACCCCUCAGCUGCCAUUUAAAAAAUCAAGGGCUAUCACACGUGGGAAAAAAAAGGUAUAUUUCUGGAUUGUCCCCCAAAGUCAGAAGAGUUGGCAAAACAAGGGCUACAUUUUCUUAUAGCACUUUAUAGCUAGAACUGGACACUGCAGAGCCUCUUCAGUUACUGUCCCAACCCAAGUUCAUUCCUGUUAUUCAUUUAAUAGAUACCAGUGGUAAAGAAUCAGCCUGCCAAUGCAAGAGACACAGGUUCAAUCCCUNNNNNNNNNNNNNNNNNNNNNNNNNNNNNNNNNNNNNNNNNNNNNNNNNNNNNNNNNAAUCCCAUGGACAGAGGAGCCUGGUGGGCUAUAGUCCAUGGGGUCACAGUCGGAUACGACCUAGACUGAACAACGAAAGUUUAUUUUUUCUUAGUAUGCUUGGAUACAUAUUCACGGAUCACCCUGAUAAAAUAGCUUCCUUGUUUGUGUCCUCCUAAUCCAUUCCUAACAUUAGGAUUAUAUU
RNAcentral lists this long non-coding RNA (1241 nucleotides) under Capra hircus (goat). RNAcentral describes it as "lncRNA (ENSCHIG00010024991.1)". The record is from RNAcentral. Lineage: Eukaryota; Metazoa; Chordata; Mammalia; Artiodactyla; Bovidae.